CCAGCAGCCGCGGUAAUUCCAGCUCUAAUAGCGUAUAUUAAUGUUGUUGCAGUUAAAAAGCUCGUAGUUGGAUUUUGGUGUUCGACAAAUGGUCUGCUUCGGUUUGUACUGUUUGUUGGCGCUUCUUUUCUGGGGAACUCACUGCUCUUAACUGAGGGGUGUUGUAACGCAGAUCGUUUACUUUGAAAAAAUUAGAGUGUUCAAAGCAGGCCAACGCAUUUUGAAUACAUUAGCAUGGAAUAAUGGAAUAGGACUUUGGUCUUAUUUUGUUGGUUUCUAAGGCCGAGGUAAUGAUUAAUAGGGAUAGUUGGGGGCGUUUAUAUUCCGUUGUCAGAGGUGAAAUU
This 344-nucleotide ribosomal RNA is filed under the name uncultured eukaryote. RNAcentral's name for it is "SSU rRNA". It matches the Rfam family "Eukaryotic small subunit ribosomal RNA", at positions 567 to 918 of the family's 1831-position model. The record is from RNAcentral.